UUGAAUAAACCUGAUGGGUUGUUGCUGGUUCUUUUAGAACAAUAAGUGCACGCCUGUCACUUUUAUAUCUCCACCUGUGCACUCUUUGUAGACUUGAAUAGUUUUCUGAAUACCUAGUAUUCAGGUUUGAAGAUUGACUUUUCUGGUCUCUCUUUACAUUUUCAGGCCUAUGUUUCUUUAUAUACCCCAAUUUAUGUUAUAGAAUGUAAUCAAUGGGCUAUUGUGCCUAUAAACUUAUA
RNAcentral lists this unclassified non-coding RNA (239 nucleotides) under uncultured Cortinarius. RNAcentral's name for it is "sequence contains ITS1". Lineage: Eukaryota; Fungi; Basidiomycota; Agaricomycetes; Agaricales; Cortinariaceae. The record is from RNAcentral.